GUUUUAAUUGCACUGUACUACAAUUACCGUUGUUCGCUGUUGUGGCAAUAACACGUGGAAAGAAAACAAAGGAAAGCAAGCAAAAACAACAGCUGAACAGAUGACUACAACAAUUGCAUGAUAAGCGUAAUUUGCGAAUGCAACAAUGCGAAUUAGUCGUAUAACUCAUUAAUGAGAUUCGCGGCAAUGCAACGCUGCAGUGGCGGCAGCAUCCGCAAUUUUGACACGGCGGCGAGUCGUGCGAGUUGCGAAACUUCGGCGGUAUUUUCGCAUUGCGGCUGCUGGCCAAUUGAAGCGCUUAAUGGAAUGCGUUUAUUUUUAUCACAGCUACGAAAUUCUCCGCCGUUUCAUUGUGUUCGUCGCGGUGUAUUGCGAUGGCAGCUGGAGAAAUGGUUGCACAUUUCGGAAAAUAACAUUUUCAUAGCCGACAUUAUAUAGUCGUCGACGUAUCCCAAUAAGCCUAACGGAUAACCAAAAGUUCGUCAUAAUGAAGUAAUAAUCCGCAAUCACUUGUUCAAACCGUUUAAUACUAUCGAUAUAUAGCGAUAAUAUCGAAUCAAAAAGCAUCACCCAUCUUGAGACCCAGCUUUCAUUUUUGAAUAACAUUCGACUGAAUAGACCGCGUCCAGCACGCAGUGAAGAAAGUAUAGCAGUGUACACAAAAACCGACGAGAGUCGAUUCGGCACAGUUCGCAGCAGCUCGGACUGACGUAUGGAACUAUUCGGCAUAUUUAUGUCAAGAUCUUCACUUCACUCUACGUGUUCUUGAAAAGUUCAAAGUAGAUCCGACGUUUUCGAGUCAAAUUUUGUUCAGCGAUGACGCCCAGUUUUGGCUCAAUGGGUACGUAAACAAGCAAAAUUGCUGCAUUGGGACGAAAGCAACCUGAAGAAAUUCAAGAGCUGUCAUUUCAUUCAGAGAAAACAAAGGUUUAGUGUGGUUUGUGGGUCGGUGGAAUCAUCGGUCCAAAAAUGAUGCCGGUAAGAACGUAACCGUCAAUGGCGACCGUCAUCGCGCUAUGAUAACCGAUUAUUUGCUGCCUGAAAGUGAAGCUCGUGAUCUCAGCGACAUUUGGUUUCAACAAUACGGCGCCACAACCCACACAUUGCAUCAUUCAAUGGAUUUAUUGAGAGAAUACUUCUCUGUGAGCAGACCUUUUCACGUUCUGGGUCGAUUGGCCACCAAGAUCAUGUGAUAUCACACCAUUAGACUUUUUCCAUGUAGGAUAUGUAAAGUCUAAAGUACAUGCGACCAAUCCUGCUCCGAUUCAGGCCUUGGAGUAAAACAUCACGCGUGUCAUUCUCCAGUAACCAGUCGAAAUGCUCGAACGAGUCGUCGGAAAUUGGACUCAACGGAUGGACCAUCUGAGAUGUAGCCGCAGCCAACAUUUGAAAGAAAUAAUCAUCAAAUAAAAGCCAAAGAAAGUUCUUUCGAAUGAUAAUAAACAUGCAAUAUUAAAUUUGAA
Molecule: long non-coding RNA, 1463 nt
Organism: Bactrocera neohumeralis
Lineage: Eukaryota; Metazoa; Arthropoda; Insecta; Diptera; Tephritidae
Exons: 3
Source: RefSeq, a predicted model, not a curated record